Molecule: long non-coding RNA, 733 nt
Organism: Panicum virgatum (switchgrass)
Lineage: Eukaryota; Viridiplantae; Streptophyta; Magnoliopsida; Poales; Poaceae
Exons: 2
Source: RefSeq, a predicted model, not a curated record
GUGUUUAGAGAACCUUGUAAUAUCAUCUUCAGGUAUAUUUUGUACCAAAAAAUUUUGGGUUUACCUUCUUCUCGAUUUGGUCUGAUGGAUGAUCAGGUUGCCAAGGCAUUCCUUCCCUUCUCCAUUUAAUAGGCCAAGCAUUGGGAGAACAUAUAUACUUAAAGAUUGAUGCUUAUGGAGCUGAUUUGUAUUCCUCAGUUGCUAUAUUUCAUAUGAUGAAAAUUGUUGCUUUCGGAGGGAAUUUGGGUUCACCAUUAGCAACGAACUGACAUGGGAAUACAGGAUGGCCGAGCACCGAGGCAGAAGUUUGUGAUCAAUGUUUUGACGUUUGCUGGAAAUGCAUAUCGGAAAAUAUUCCUCUAAGUGUUUAGAAAUAUAUUAACCGCAUCACAUGGAAAAAAAUAUUUGAAAGUGAGUUAUGUGGCAUUGGAUAUCCUGAUGUAGUUGAAUCCACCAAAUUUGAAAACUAUAACAUAUUAUGUAUGUAUAUGAUUGUGUGUGGAUAUUAAUAAAGAUCAAAAUAUUAUAUGUUUCUUGUGCUAUAUUUAUUAUUAUGAAAUUAUUUUUUAUCGCCCAUAGCAACGCACGGACAUGAACCUAGUGUAUAGAUUAUUUGCAUAACUUAUCCUUUACUUUUAUAGCUCUUAUUGUUUCUUUCGCAUGAGUUAUGCAUAUAAAUUUUGUAUAGGAAAAAUUAUAUUUAUAAUCUUUCCUUUUAUUAAUAAGUUUUGCU